GAACGCACAUUGCGCCCCUUGGUAUUCCGAGGGGCAUGCCCGUUCGAGCGUCAUUAUAACCCCUCAAGCCCAGCUUGGUGUUGGGGCCUGCUGUUGUCGGCAGCCCUUAAAAUCAGUGGCGGUGCCAUCUGGCUCUAAGCGUAGUAAUACUUCUCGCUACAGGGUCCCGGUGGAUGCCUGCCAUCAACCCCUAAAUUUCUAUGGUUGACCUCGGAUCGGGUAGGGAUACCCGCUGAACUUAAG
Molecule: unclassified non-coding RNA, 243 nt
Filed under: uncultured Leohumicola
Lineage: Eukaryota; Fungi; Ascomycota; Leotiomycetes
Description: sequence contains 5.8S rRNA gene
Source: RNAcentral